GACGAACGCUGGCGGCGUGCUUAACACAUGCAAGUCGAACGGAAAGGCCCUGCUUUUGUGGGGUGCUCGAGUGGCGAACGGGUGAGUAACACGUGAGUAACCUGCCCUUGACUUUGGGAUAACUUCAGGAAACUGGGGCUAAUACCGGAUAGGAGCUCCUGCUGCAUGGUGGGGGUUGGAAAGUUUCGGCGGUUGGGGAUGGACUCGCGGCUUAUCAGCUUGUUGGUGGGGUAGUGGCUUACCAAGGCUUUGACGGGUAGCCGGCCUGAGAGGGUGACCGGCCAAAUGGGGACUGAGAUACGGCCCAGACUCCUAGGGGGGGCAGAGGGGGGGAAUAUUGAAAAAGGGGCGGAAGCCUGAUGCAGCAACGCCGCGGGGGGGAUGAGGGCCUUCGGGUUGUAAACCGUUUUCGCCUGGGACGAAGCGGGGGGGACGGUAAUGGGUAAAGAAGCACCGGCUAACUACGU
Molecule: ribosomal RNA, 467 nt
Filed under: uncultured bacterium
Lineage: Bacteria
Description: partial 16S ribosomal RNA
Rfam family: Bacterial small subunit ribosomal RNA
Source: RNAcentral